This 484-nucleotide ribosomal RNA is filed under the name uncultured bacterium. RNAcentral's name for it is "partial 16S ribosomal RNA". It matches the Rfam family "Bacterial small subunit ribosomal RNA", at positions 30 to 507 of the family's 1533-position model. The record is from RNAcentral.
AUUGAACGCUGGCGGCAGGCCUAACACAUGCAAGUCGAGCGGAUGAAGGGAGCUUGCUCCUGGAUUCAGCGGCGGACGGGUGAGUAAUGCCUAGGAAUCUGCCUGGUAGUGGGGGAUAACGUCCGGAAACGGGCGCUAAUACCGCAUACGUCCUGAGGGAGAAAGUGGGGGAUCUUCGGACCUCACGCUAUCAGAUGAGCCUAGGUCGGAUUAGCUAGUUGGUGGGGUAAAGGCCUACCAAGUCGACGAUCCGUAACUGGUCUGAGAGGAUGAUCAGUCACACUGGAACUGAGACACGGUCCAGACCCCUACGGGAGGCAGCAGUGGGGAAUAUUAGACAAUGGGCGAAAGCCAGAUCCAGCCAUGCCGCGUGUGUGAAGAAGGUCUUCGGAUUGUAAAGCACUUUAAGUUGGGAGGUAGGGCAGUAAGUUAAUACCUUGCUGUUUUGCCGUUAACAACAGGAUAAGCACAGGCUGACUUCGUG